RNAcentral lists this ribosomal RNA (19 nucleotides) under Aspergillus niger. RNAcentral describes it as "partial 28S ribosomal RNA". The record is from RNAcentral. Lineage: Eukaryota; Fungi; Ascomycota; Eurotiomycetes; Eurotiales; Aspergillaceae.
UUGACUUGGAAUCAGGUAC